AUCAGGAUCCCUAGUACUGCGAGUGAAGCGGGAAAAGCUCAAAUUUGUAAUCUGGCGGUCUUUGGCCGUCCGAAUUGUAAACUAGAGAAGUGUUAUCCGCGCUGGACCGUGUACAAGUCCCCUGGAAUGGGGCGUCAUAGAGGGUGAGAAUCCCGUCUUUGACACGGACUACCAGGGCUUUGUGAUGCGCUCUCAAAGAGUCGAGUUGUUUGGGAAUGCAGCUCAAAAUGGGUGGUAAAUUCCAUCUAAAGCUAAAUAUUGGCGAGAGACCGAUAGCGAACAAGUACCGUGAGGGAAAGAUGAAAAGAACUUUGGAAAGAGAGUUAAACAGUACGUGAAAUUGCUGAAAGGGAAACGCUUGAAGUCAGUCGCGUUAGCGAGGGAUCAGCCUUACUUUUGUGGGGUGUACUUCCUCGUUGAUGGGUCAGCAUCAGUUUUGGUUGCUGGAUAAAGAUCAGGGGAAUGUGGCAUCUUCGGAUGUGUUAUAGCCCUUGGUUGGAUACAGUGGCUGGGACUGAGGAACUCAGCACGCGCAAGUUGUGCUUAGGAUGCUGGCAAAAUGGCUUUAAUCGACCCGUCUUGAAACACGGACCAAGGAGUCUAACAUGCCUGCGAGUGUUUGAGUGGAAAACUCGAGCGCGUAAUGAAAGUGAAAGUUGAGAUCCCUGUCGCGGGGAGCAUCGACGCCCGGAGCAGAACUUUUGGGACGCAUCCGCGGUAGAGCAUGUAUGU
RNAcentral lists this ribosomal RNA (732 nucleotides) under Hohenbuehelia robusta. RNAcentral describes it as "LSU rRNA". It matches the Rfam family "Eukaryotic large subunit ribosomal RNA", at positions 68 to 809 of the family's 3401-position model. The record is from RNAcentral. Lineage: Eukaryota; Fungi; Basidiomycota; Agaricomycetes; Agaricales; Pleurotaceae.